CCGGGACAGGCAGCCCCCGCUGCAGCGGCCAGUGCGGAGCCCCGGGGUUCGCUCCCGUGCCAGCCCAAGCUCUAGUUCGAAGCCCAGGUCCCGUCCGCGACCUCGCACCGAGCCCCAGGCCCCUUCUAGAACAGCUGGAAAGUCCCUCAACCCGCAUCACUCGAUCCAGGACAUUCUGGACGAGCCUCUGGAGCCGCUGGCAGGUGAGUCCUGGAUCCGGGACGACGGUAUUGGAGGUGGGUGAGGGUCAAGGGAGGCUCGUGGGGCUCUGGCGCAGAGGCACCUCCUGUGGCACCCAAGGGAAAGGAGCUCGAAGGCUCUGGGAGGGGGCAAGGAGUGAGGUCACGGGACGCCCAAGGGACCAGGGAGGGGCAAAGACGUCUGACAGCCCCUUCCUUCUCUCCUUCCCCUCUACUCCUCUCAGAAGCUCUGCCUCCACCCCCUCUGGAUUUCCCGGGCUCCUUCGACCUCCUGUCUCCAUCCCCGCCGCCGGGCUCCGAGGGCCUGUCCUCCGUCUUCUCCUCCUGGCCUCCGUCCCCGGCUAGCUCGCCAUCGCCAGGCCCGGGGCGUCCCCUGGAGGCCGCCGAUUGGCUGGAGGCUCUGACCGGAAGCCCAGCUCUGGACUGCUCCGGCCCAACCCCCAGCAUCUUCUGCACCGACUUCUCAGAGCCCGGGACCAGCAGACUCUGGGACUUGGGGGUGGAGGAGUGGUGAUGGGAGCCAGCAGGAGGGGGGGCCCUGCCGGGGACAGGCACCCAACAGACAGGGACAUCCGCAAGUCAGGAGCCACAAGAAAUGGCCACAUGCAUCCCGACAGAAAUUCACAGACGCACUCACAGUCACACGCAAAUACUGGCAGAGUAGGACAGAAACCAGCACAGAGAAAAAGUGCCGUUUCCACAAAGAGAAGCACAGGAAAACCUGCAGAGGCAGAGACACAGAUGGGGCCAGAGGAUGAGGGAGGGGAAUGAGAGGGGAACAGAGGCAGGGCCGCUGACAUUCAGAACUACAGAAAUGGCCCGUCAUUCACAGGGACCCUGACUAGUGGAGAGAAGGACCUUAAAUUGAGGGGCUCCAAUCCCCAAUCCUGCCCACAUUGAGAGUCUGGGAUUGGACAGGCACAAGGACAGCUGAGUGAUGUUGAAGAAGCCUCCCCCUUCCCCCAUCUUCUUAGCAGACUGUCGAAUUCUCAAACAUUCAUCUGUUUUCUCCUCUAAAAUGUAAAGGCCAGUCUGGUCAUUUCUCAGGACCUGGCCUGCCUCAGGUGUGUGAUUGUAGACUGGAUUGUGAACUACCCUUAGGGAAGGUCCUUAAUAUCUCUGGUCCUCAGUUUCCCCAUCUUUAAAAUGAAGGAGUGAGACAGAUUCUAAGCCCCCACUGCCUUUCAGAAUCUGUGAUUUCUAGACUAGACUCACUGUGUGAUUUUGGUGUCAACUAGUCUCUCUGGGCCUCAGUAAAAUGAGGACUCAAGGUUACUGGGCUCCAACUCUUCAGAAGCUUCAGUCUUCACUGGGGAGAGCGAGGCUAUACAGACACCCACGUCCA
Vombatus ursinus (common wombat) is the source of this 1545-nucleotide long non-coding RNA. The record is from Ensembl. Lineage: Eukaryota; Metazoa; Chordata; Mammalia; Diprotodontia; Vombatidae.